This 5602-nucleotide long non-coding RNA is filed under the name Musa acuminata (dwarf banana). RNAcentral describes it as "long non-coding RNA (MACU_LNC003668)". Lineage: Eukaryota; Viridiplantae; Streptophyta; Magnoliopsida; Zingiberales; Musaceae. The record is from RNAcentral.
ACAAAUUGAUCAGUAAUUAUGCAUUCUUUUGUCAUAACAGUUUGAUGUAAAUUGUCAUUUGAUUCAUUUUCGGUGCACUUGAAAGAGCCAUCUCUCAAUUGACUUCAGAAUGUUGGCUAGCACAUUUUCAUCUUCUAAGAUCUUUCAUAUUUUCCUUUUACGAAAUUAUAUAUACACGGACUGACAGGACAUGCUUUAUCUUUUUCAUCUUUGUUUAUCCUGUAAUAACUAAAUUUGACAAGAAACAAGAAGAAAAAAAUCUUUGGUAACUCUUUCAUUAAUAUCUGAAGGAUUACUAUCAUUAAUUAUUUUGUCUUAUAUCAAAUUUCUUAUAGUCCAUCCCAUGAAAGAAAAAACCUCUUUUAUUUCUCCCUCAUUUUUGAAAAGAGGAAAACAAUGAAAAAAUGUUUAUUUUUUCGAUGCUUUAUAAAUAUCUUUUAACAAGGAAGACCAGAACAUGUUUUUGUUUUGAUAAUAGUAGAUGCAGAUGAAAGUAUGACAAUGGAAGCAAGAUGAUUAUAACUAAACCUAAAUGUGGGAUUAGGCACCUGUAUAUGCAGCAGUUGUUACUGUAGCCCCGGUAGUUGUUAUGCUGGCAGUUUGAUGAUGUGAUGCGUGGCUUGGUGGUUGACCAAAGUACUUUGCAGACUCUUGGAAGUCACUGGGUGGAGGUUUCAGGUGACCUGCAAGGGUGCCGCUCUUAUGGAGGUGGUUGGCAGUAUUGAAGAACAAAAUUUUUUUUUCUACCUUGUCUCAAAGGAUGUGUUGAAAAUGUGCAUUACCUUGGGGCAACAAUUUCAAAUGAUAAAAAUCUUCCAACCAUUUGCAACUUCUGCACUGGAUUUUUCUUUAGUUUCUAAAAAGCUAUACGUAUCAAAGUCUGUUACUUCCCAUGAGAUUUUAGUUUAUCAUCUAAUUAUUGCUCAUAAACUGGAUCAUUGAUCUUCUUUUGUGCUUGUAUUGAAGUGCAAUAAAACAUGUUGAUUUGAACAAUAACAGUUCAAACUUUCAUUUUUGACCUUUGUAUCGUGUCAAAAACUAAAUCAUACUUACCUUGAUGUAUCAAAAUGCCACAUGUUGCUGAUGUUUAUGCGGUCAAAGGAUGAGAAAAAACUUAUUUGUCCUAGUAUACUUUUGUGCUAGAUUAACAAAAUCUCUGAAUGGUAUGAGUUUAUGUUUGCUUAAUAGUCACAGGUUGGUUUGAGGAUCUGUUUACUCGUUUGUCGCAUGCUUGUAAGUAUUCUUGUGAUUUAUCCAUGGCGUGAUUAAUCGAUGGUGGAUACUAUAAACAAUUCACUAGAAGGAAACCAAUAACUUGUUGCAUUCUUUUAGUAGGCAUGAUUACUUUCUUUGAUCUGUUUAAUUGCUCAGUGAUAAUUAUAUUUCAUGAAAUAUGGAGCUUCAAUAAUUUCUUCCAUAGUUCAGAAAUGUAGACUAACAGUUCUCCAACCCGUCUAGGAUGCCAGGGUAACAAUGCUUGGUGUCGUUCCAAGUAUUGUGCGUGCAUGGAAGAACACAAAUUGUACCAUGGGUCUCAAUUGGUCAGCGAUUCGGUAAUAAUAUCAAUUUUGGAAGGUUGUUUUACUACAUCCUUUUGACUCUGGGAGUGAUAAAAUAUAAUUUACUUGUGUGUAGUUGCUUUAGCUCCACUGGAGAGGCAUCCAGUGUGGAUGAUUACCUAUGGCUCAUGGGAAGAGCUUACUACAAACCAGUGAUCGAAUAUUGUGGCGGUACAGAAAUUGGAGGUGGAUUUGUUACUGGGUCACUGUUGCAGCCUCAGGCAUUGGCUGCAUUCAGUACACCCGCAAUGGGUUGCAAGUUAUUUAUCCUUGACAGUGAUGGAAAUCCACUUGUAAGUACUCUGCUCCAACUAUUUUUUGCAAGGUCAUAUUAUCACAUUAUGCCAUCUAAAAUUUUAAGCAAAAAAUUCUAUGUGAAACACAGUCCAUAAAGAUUUGAUGCCAUGCAGUAAGUUGUGCAAAGUGGGUUCCAUCAUCUCAUUUGUUGUAGAAACAAUAUUCAACAUGUAUCCUGGGAUACAUGGUAGCGAAAAGCUUCAUCUGCUCAACUCUUUGCAACUGAAGUAUCAUCAAAGUUAUAAAUGUCUAUUGGAAUAUCUUAGUGGGGAUAAUGAAUUGUAAUAUAUAUAAAGCGACUAGCGAAGUUCAUCCAUCGAACUUGUCGAGAAUAUAUGUAAUGGAUUGUUUUCGUUUUUUGAAUCACAGCCGGAAACUGCUGCUGGGAUUGGUGAGUUAGCUCUCAAUCCAACAAUGUUCGGAGCAUCAGUAACAUUAUUAAAUGCUGAUCAUUACGAUGUCUACUUUAAGGGCAUGCCAGUUCUCAAUGGAAAGGUAAGCCUUUUACCUACACUCAGUGGUCUUCUUCCAUUGAGUUCAUAGGUCUAAUCAGGCUUGGACAUGCAGCUACUUCGAAGACAUGGAGAUGAAUUCGAGCGGACUGCUAGUGGAUAUUACAAGGCACAUGGUCGUACAGAUGACACAAUGAAUCUUGGUGGCAUUAAGGUACACAUCAGCAACGACACAUUUCGGUCUUAAGACAAACAAACUAAUCCAUGUUAGUUAAUCCAUCAAUGCUCAGGUAAGUUCUGUCGAGAUCGAACGGAUCUGUAACAGCGUCAGUAGUUCUAUCCUUGAGACAGCUGCAAUCGGGGUCCCUCCAUCUACCGGUGGCCCUGAGCAAUUAGUCAUGGCUGUCAUUUUUAAAGAUCAAAGCUUUUCGGAAGAAAAUUUGGAAAAGUUAAGGUUGGCCUUCAAUUCUGCACUACAGAAGAGACUGAAUCCUCUAUUCAAGGUACUUGCUUUCUUUUGUCUACAUUAUUAUUUUCUGAAGCAUAUUUAUUCACCACUGCUGUAAGGCAUGUAUAUAUAUUUUUACUUCAUACAAGGUUUCAUCUGUUGUGCCUGUGCCAUCUCUUCCGCGGACUGCUUCAAACAAGGUUAUGAGAAGAGUUCUGCGGCAGCAAUUCUCUAAACGUUCCAAGUUCUAGUAUCAUCAAACCCCCUUUGUUUUGUUUUAAUACUAAAUCCCUGAGAGCAUGAUUAGUGAUUGAUCUUUCUAUUGAGUGGCUCUAGUAAAGGGAGAAUAAAGUAAUGUUGGUGGAUGUGAAAGACAAAUAUUGUCAACUGGACCAGGUUAUGAAGCAAACUUUUUCUCAGCUUAUAAAUCAAUUUUGCCAUCCUGUACUACACUAGUUAGUAUCCAUGGACGACUAGUGUACAACCCUGCUGCAUAUUCUUUGGUAAUUGCUCAGCACAUGUUAACAGGGAUUCUCAAAUUUCCCAUCCACAGCCUGUGUUACUAUGACAAAUCAACUGUGAGUCUCCAUCCUCCCCAUUCUUGGUCCUUGUUUAAAGCUGUCUCGCAUAUUUACUUGCCUUAUUUUGUCAAGCCUCCAUCAUCUGCAAAGAUUAGAAGAUAGCUGUCCUACAAGCUAUCAGACCUUCCUGGCAUUAUGGUUUCUACCCCUUUCUCGGUGAGAGCUAUCUACCAAUGGCAUCAUGGUGUGUGGAUUAUAGGAGUCAUGAUGAUAUCCACAUUUUUUUGGGAUUGAACUAACUAUAUAUUUAGCUAAAAAUUAAUGGACAACCAUAAUCAUCCUCGUAAGAAAUGGGUCAACCAAGUCUAGAAGCAUGAGGCUCAAUUUCAUUUAGAAUUCACAGCAAUUUCAUUCAUAAAUAAAAGGGGAUAAACUAGGAUUUUAUAUAUGUAAAUAAUGGAAUCCGUCAGACUGAAUUGACGGAUAAAGACUCUCAAAGAAACUGUACUUGUUUUCAAAUCACUCUGUUUCUAAAACUUACAAGACAUGAUAUAUAUAUAUAUAUAUAUAUAUAUAUAUAUAUAUAUAUAUAUAUAUAUAUAUAUAUAUAUAUAUAUNNNNNNNNNNNNNNNNNNNNUAUAUAUAUAUAUAUAUAUAUAUAUAUAUAUAUAUAUAUAUAUAUAUAUAUAUAUAUAUAUAUAUAUAUAUAUAUAUAUAUAUAUAUAUAUAUAUAUAUGUGUGACAGGCUUAAGAACAAUCCUCAAGACAGUAAUCUUAGAAUUAUGUGAAACGAAUCUAAAAUUCCCAACUUACUGAAAAACUAAGGGACCAUCGUAAAUACCUUAACUUCUCUUGAUUAAGGGCAUGGAGCCGCUCCUAUGUCACUUUAUUGCAGCAUCUCGUUGCCAUGGGGCAGAGAAAAAGAAAACCUCAAAACUAAACAGCUAAUUUGCUCGGAUUAGCAUAUGACUCGGCCUUGAUUCUUGGCCAGUAAUCCAAUGGCUCAACAGGGACGCCGAAUGAUGCCAAAAUGGACUCGAGCACAAGUGUCGGAUCUUCACCUGCAAAUAUAUAACCAUGAAAAAAUUGUUGAGAGCGACACAAAAUCAUGGAAAUGUCAGCACGCAGCGUGUUCAACUCUAGCAUUUUAUCUCAGUGAUAAUUCAUCUGAUCUUUAACUGUAUGGCUUUCUUUUUUCUCCGGUGCCAACUUAAGUUACGAUAUCUACUACGUAUUUGCAUAAACCUCUGAAUACUAACAUUACGUAGACUUGAAUAAUCCAAAGGCUUUUCAGAUCAAAGGACUAUUAGACCUAAACUCCUGCAAGUUCAAAAUGACUAAGAAGAAGAAAAGCAGUUAAAGAACAAUAUAGAGGAAAAGGAAGCGAAAAAGGGAAGAAACCAAGGAUGACAAAAUAAUGGUCAACUUCAAGGAAAUAAUUAAUCCCAUCACUAAAUUUUGUCACACAUCUUACCGAGGAACAGCCCUUAAAUCACAAGAUAUGCUCGGAUGCAAAUUUCUAAGAAGAUGAGGAACCUGGGUUUAUUUCUACAGGAAGACAGAAGAAGGAAUGAAUUUGCGAAAUACCUGGAUGUAGUAAUAUUCAUGCACAGUUCUACCUUGGUUCUUGCUCAUGGAAAACAUGACAUCGACAAGUAUGCGUGCAGGCCUGUAUUAGUCUUUCUUCUCAAAACCUUUACAAGUUGAAGCCAAUCCCAGCAUGCACUGAGAUUUCAUUGUUUUCCUAAAACCUUGCAUGAGAGAUUGAAAGAACUAAUUGUUCUAUACUUGUCAUCAAUGUUAAGCAACUGAAAUAGCAUCUUCUUAGAGAAAGUUUGUAACACAUUCGAAACCUGAUGGGCUAAAGAGUGAUACACAUGCCACAUGCGAAUCACUGUGAUAUUGAUGGCCAACAAGAUUGUUCCUCUAAAAUGGUGUUUUUUGUGCAUAAACUCUCGGCUAAUCACAUGAAGAAUUGUUGCACAGACUAUCAGGAAAGCCAUGUAACAACUACGAAGUAUACAAGAAAACAACCCAACCAUAGAUCGACUGUAUACAGGGCAUGCACAAUAAAUCGUAAAUAUAUGAGCUUAAGUAGCCUAUCACAUUGAGUUAAAAGGAGAACCAGUUGCUUACCCAAUGUAAAAUUUGGAGUAGUUUGGCACCUUCGGGCUGUACAACUCUAAGCUCCUCCUGGGGAGUGAAAUUAUGAGUGUUUAAUCUCCACAUUUUGCUUGAUAACUCCACUAAAUUUAUAGCCAGUUCAAUCUUGCAAGCUGGAACAGGAAAUAAGAUCCCAAAGAACUUAAAACUCAAUCGUCCUUG